Molecule: ribosomal RNA, 518 nt
Filed under: Mycoplasmopsis agalactiae
Lineage: Bacteria; Bacillati; Mycoplasmatota; Mycoplasmoidales; Metamycoplasmataceae
Description: bacterial SSU rRNA
Rfam family: Bacterial small subunit ribosomal RNA
Source: RNAcentral
CGCCUGAGUAGUACGUUCGCAAGAAUAAAACUUAAAGGAAUUGACGGGGAUCCGCACAAGCGGUGGAGCAUGUGGUUUAAUUUGAAGAUACGCGUAGAACCUUACCCACUCUUGACAUCUUCUGCAAAGCUAUGGAGACAUAGUGGAGGUUAACAGAAUGACAGAUGGUGCAUGGUUGUCGUCAGCUCGUGUCGUGAGAUGUUCGGUUAAGUCCUGCAACGAGCGCAACCCUUAUCCUUAGUUACUACCAUUUAGUUGAGCACUCUAAGGAGACUGCCCGAGUAAUCGGGAGGAAGGUGGGGACGACGUCAAAUCAUCAUGCCUCUUACGAGUGGGGCUACACACGUGCUACAAUGGACGGUACAAAGAGAAGCGAAGUGGUGACAUGGAGCAAACCUCAAAAAACCGUUCUCAGUUCGGAUUGAAGUCUGCAACUCGACUUCAUGAAGUCGGAAUCGCUAGUAAUCGUAGAUCAGCUACGCUACGGUGAAUACGUUCUCGGGUCUUGUACACACCGC